This 1922-nucleotide ribosomal RNA is filed under the name Lophocereus schottii. RNAcentral describes it as "eukaryotic LSU rRNA". It matches the Rfam family "Eukaryotic large subunit ribosomal RNA", at positions 1202 to 3148 of the family's 3401-position model. The record is from RNAcentral. Lineage: Eukaryota; Viridiplantae; Streptophyta; Magnoliopsida; Caryophyllales; Cactaceae.
CCUCUAGAACGGCCCCGAUGCAUGGCCAACACAUGCCCCCAUUUCCCGAGGAACGCCUCGAAAUCACCCCGGUGCACGCCCUAGGCAUGCCCCCGAGUCCUGAGGAACAUCCUCAAAAUCUAUACCCAGUCGUUGGGGCAAGUGCGAGGCCCCAAUGAGCAGGAAGGCGCAAUAGUCGCUGCAAAACCGAUGGCGCAAGCCAGGGCGGAGCAGCCGCCGGUGCAGAUCUAGUGGUAGUAGCAAAUACUCAAAUGAGAGCUUUGAAGGCCGAAGAGGGGAAAGGUUCUAUGUGAACGGCACUUACACCUGGGUUAGUCGAUCCUAAGAGGUGGGACAAGCCCAUCCGACAGCGCGUUUCGCGCAAACUUCGAAAGGGAAUUAGGUUAAAAUUCCCGAACCCGGACGCGGCGGUUGACAGCAACGUUAGGGAGUCCGGAUACGCCAGUAAGGGCCUCGGAAAGAGUUAUCUUCUCCAUUUAACAGCCUACCCACCCUGGAAAUGACUCAAUCAGAGGUGGGGUCCAACGACUGGAAGAGCCCCGCACUUUGCAAGGUGCCCAGUACGCCCUCAACAACCCAUGAAAAUGCGGAGGACCAAGUGUCGACCAUGCCCAGUCGUACUCGUAAUCGCAUCAGAUCUCUAAGGGGAACAACCUCUGGUCGAUGGAACAAUGUAGGCAAGAGAAGUCGGCAAAAUGGAUUCGUAACUUCAGGAAAAGGAUUGGCUCUGACGGUUAGGCACAGGGGUCCGAUUCCCGAACCCGUCGGUUGUCGGCGGACCGCUCGCGCUAUUUGCGUGUCGAGAACGGGUUGCCGUGUGCCGGUCGGGGGACGGACUGGGAACUGCCCCUUCCGGGGCCUUCCCCGGGCGUCGAACAGUCAACUCAAGACUGGUACACACAAUGGUAAUCCGACUAUUUAAUUAAAACAACGUAUUGCGAUGGUCCCUGCGGAUGUUAAUGCAAUGUGAUUUCUGCCCAGUGCUCUGCACGUCAAAGUGAAGAAAUUCAACCAAGCACGGGUAAAUGGCGAGAGUAACUAUGACUCUCUUAAGCUAACCAAAUGCCUCAUCAUCUACUUAGUGACGCGCGUGAAUGGAUUAACGAGAUUUCCACUGUCCCUGUCUACUAUACAGCAAAACCACAACUAAGGGAAUGGGCUUGGGAGAAUCAACGGGGAAAGAAGACCCCAUUGAGCUUAACUCUAGUCCGACUUUGUGAAAUGACUUGAAAGGUGUAGCAUAAGCGGGAGCUUCGGCGCAAGUGAAAUACCACUACUUUUAACGUUAUGUUACUUACUCCGUAAGUCAAAGGCGGGCAUCGCCCCUCUUUUUGGACCUGAGGCUCGCUUCACGAGCAAAUCCGGGUAGAGGACAAUAUCAGGUGGGGAGUUUGGCUGGGAGCGGCACUUCUGUUCAAACAUAACGUAGAUGUCCUAAGUUGAGCUUAAUGAGAACAUAAAUCUCAUGUGGAACAGAAGGGUAAAAGCUCGUUUGAUUCUGAUUUGUAGUACGAAUAUGAACCAUGAAAGCGUAGCCUAACGAUCCUUUAGACCUUCGAAAUUUGAAGCUAGAGGUGUCAGAAAAGUUACCACAGGGAUAACUAGCUUGGAGCAGCCAAGCGUUCAUAGCGACAUUGCUUUUUUAUCCUUCGAUGUCGGCUCUUCCUAUCAUUGUGAAGCAGAGUUCAUCAAGUGUUGGAUUGUUCACCCACCAAUCAGGAACGUGAGCUGGGCUUAGACCGUCGUGAGAGAGGUUAGUUUUGCCCUACUAAUGACAGUGUCGUGAUGGUAAUUCAAUCUAGUACGAGAGGAACCAUUGAUUCCCAUAAUUGGUCAUUGCGCUUGGUUAAAAGCCAGUGGCGCAAAGCUAACGCGCGCUGGAAUGCCCCCAAAACGGCUCUGGUACAUGGCCAAGGCAUGCC